Long non-coding RNA from Amphiprion ocellaris (clown anemonefish), 3081 nucleotides. The record is from Ensembl. Lineage: Eukaryota; Metazoa; Chordata; Actinopteri; Pomacentridae.
UUGCUACAAGAAUUGAAACUACCCUCAAUUUAUUCAUUGAAAAAAGUUUAUAUUGUAUGUACAGAGAACAGCAGAAACAUAUCUUAAUGAUACACUGUUGUAAAAAGGAAAAUUGCACGGUGCUUACAUAUUGGUCAUUUUUUACCAGCAUAGUACCAUAUUGUGGAUAAUAAAACACAAUGAAGGAUGGCUAUUAAAACACAAUAAAACAAUAACAAUAUAUUUCUCAUUUCUCCCAGGACUUUAAAACAUCCCCCGAAACAAUAGCUUUAUGGGAAAAAUCCAUAUGUCACAGAGGCGGUGCACAAACAUUAAUUAAACAACACAAAUAAUAAAUGUGCAUUAUGGGAUAUUAUCAAAUUUGCAUAUGAGGAGGGGGGAAAAAAAGACUCAUUAGAUAUUGCAGGCACCUCCCCAGUUCAUGACGAGACACACCAGUUAAAACAGCUGCUGUGUCAGAGCUGAGGCCCCUCACACAAACACUCAGCUGCUGCUACUUUCAUCUAUCCAAAGCAGACCCAGUAAUUCUGCCCCAGAAAAAAAAAAAAAAAAAAACAACAACAAAUGUGUACAACUGACAGACAGAUGAAGCAGAUAAAUGUAGAGAAUAAGAAGAAGAGACAGCAAAAGUGAGCGCUGCCUCGUUGGUAACCUCUUGUUUGUACUGCAGACUCAGAGGAAUAGUUGUGAUUACUCCAUUGACUGAAUCAUCUGCAAGGUCAGGCCUCCCAUCUUCUCUCCCUCCCACUCCUCUGCUCCUCUCCCACUCAACAGCCAAGUGGUUCAUAUGGCUGCCAAGACAUAUUCAUAGACAUAUUGGAGCAUCCAGUUACUGGCAGCGCUUACAGACACUUAAACACAUGUCCACCUACACACACACACACACGCUGGAAAAUUGGUAGACAAACAAGCAUACUAGUGCUCUAUUUUACAUUCCCUUUCAUUCAUUUCUAUAUGCUUGUGAGGACCACAAACCUCCUAAACUAUACUGUCACCAAUGAAUAAAUACUAGCCAUGAGCUUUCUCUUAAUCCUAAAUCUAGUCAGAACCCUAAACCCAGAGCUCAGGAAAUGACUGAGGCUUAGAGGCGCAAAUUCAUUUGAAUAUUAAAAAAUGGGACAACGUUUUUCCCUGCUUGUUGAAAACAGUUGCCAAUACAGGCCUGUCUCUCAAACAUUAUAUUGCAGUACCUAAACUACGUCACAUUUGUUUGUGACUAACCCUGUAUCACAAAUAUGUUUCAAAUCAACAUCUUUGUCAUUUAUUUUAUUGUUUUAGUGUAAAUCAUUUUCAACCAACCAAUCAUACAUUAGAUGGGCUAGGAUUAAUCUCCCCAAAAACCCAAACAAACAGAGGAGAUGCUUCAAACAUGUUGGAAGCCAACUCAUUGUAUUUUCCGAAACCUAACCAAGUAGUUCUAGCACCUAAACUUAGCCAAACCUAAGUCUAACAAUAAUGGUCCCACAUGUAAUGUAAACCCUGUUCUGAUGACUGAAAGUACUAUUGCCGUGUGGCUCCUUUACACCCUUCAAUGCACAACAUGGGUCAAAAGUGACCCAAAUCCAAUGGAAAAAUGGGUAUCUCCUGACCCACACUGUGCAUCAAAAGGUUAAACUGGAAACGUUUUCUACUACAUCACAGUCUUAAAGUUUUGGGAAAAAAAUACAUUUCGGUCGUACAAAAAUAAGAAUGAAGUUAAGUAGUUAUAAAAUAUAUGUUUCAAAAUCAUCAUAUGCUCCAUGUUCAGAAUAAUUUGGUCCCAUUCUGGCUUAAGCUCCAUCCACACUAAUACAUCCAUCCAUUAUCUACACUCCGCUUAGUCCUCAUUAGGGUCACAGGAGGACUGGAGUCUAUCCCAGCUGACUGAGGGUGAAGGCAGGGGACACCUGGACAGGUAACAGUCUAUCACAGGGCUACACAUAGAGACAAACAAUCACACUCACAUUCACACCUACAGACAAUUUAGAAUCAACAAUCAACCUGAGCAUGUUUUUAGACUGUGGGAGGAAGCUGGAGAACCUGGUGAGAACCCACACAUGUACAGGGAGAACAUGGAGACUCCGUACAGAAAGCUGUCAGAUUGGGACGCUAACCAGGGAUCUUCUAGCUGCAAGGCGAUGGUGCUAACCACUGACCCACUGUGCAACCCACACUAAUACAUAUUGUUCAAAAAUGAUCUCAGUUUAGGUGUGCAUUUUAGUGCUGUUUCAGAAAUCUAUACGCAUACUCAUGCCUGAAAAUUCAUCUCACAUGACUAUUAACAUCCGUCAUGCAAGUGCUGGUGUCAGCAAAAAGCAGCAGCUUGUUUUAUUAGUUGUAGGAAAUAUGAUGGAGGAAGAACAGCAGUUGUCAGAAGGAUGACAAAGAGAAAGCGAACACUGGUGUCUAUCAUUGUUUCUAAAAGCCUCUGUCUCUGAUUGUCUAGACUAAAUGUGACCUCUGAGUCUUCAGACUAAAGCAGGGUGAGAAACAUUUCAAAAAGUUUCCACUUUAGGGGUCCUAAAUGCCCGGAGUAGUGUAGACGUUAGAUGUAAACACAGCAGAAGUGAUGCAUUUUAAAAUUAAAUAAUGUGGAGUGAAAGCACCGUAAAACUAAAAUCACUUGUCCAGUGACAAUAUAACAGAACACAUUCAUCAUAACGCAGCAUAUUGUAUCACGACAACAGUAAGUGAUGAACGCUAAAAGAUAAAGUCGUGGUAGAGGAGGAAUCUGAUUCUCAACCUCCUCAGAUAUACACCAUAGUCUGACUGUCCUGUUUUCUCAGAGGAACCUGGUUUACUGAGCACAUAUAAGAGUAAACUUCGCCCUUCAAGAAAAAUUGACAUUAACUGGCCUGACAAUCUAAAGUUUAUAUUCCUGUUUUAUCAAGGGUGGAAGUACAAGAACACAUUCAGUCAUAUACACAUACACUACCAUUCAAAAGUUUGGGGUCACCCAGACAAUUUCAUGUUUUCCAUGAAAACUCACACUUUUAUUCAUGUGCUAACAUAACUGCACAAGGGUUUUCUUAUCAUCAAUUAGCCUUUCAACACCAUUAGCUAACACAAUGUAGCAUUAGAACACAGGAGUGAUGGUUGCUG